GCUCCGUCUGGCCCAGGUGGUUACGUGCUGUUAGUUUCGCGCUUUGAGGAGGUUUGUCUCCCGGCGUGACCCGUCCUCCACCCGGAAGUGUCCGGACCCGUGAUCUUUACUCUCCGCGGCGGACACACAUGGACUCCUGGGUCCGAUUCAGCAGCCAGAGCCAGGCCAAGGAGCGGCUCCUCAGAGCGGCUCAGUAUGCCUGCACAUUAUUGGGGUACACGCUGCAGAAGAAUGGGGCCGGUACUGACGUCCUGACCACCAUCAAACAGCUGGAGGCGCACCUGAGCCUUGGGAGGAAGUUGUUCAGACUGGGCAACUCUGUGGACGCCUUGGAGUCAGCAAAGCGCGCCAUCCAUCUGUCGGACGUGGUACUGCGCCUCUGCAUUACCGUCAGCCACCUGAACAGAGCCAUGUACUUCGCCUGCGACAACAUCCUGUGGCUGGGGAAGAGCGGCCUGUCCAAGGAGAUGGACCAGGAGAAGUGGAGCCUGCGCUCCUUCAGAUAUUAUCUCUUUGCUCUCAUCAUGAACCUGAGCCGCGAUCUUUAUGAGAUUAAAUUACUGAUGGAAGCGGAGAACAGCGGCAAACGCUCCUCCUCCAAAGUGUGGUCGGAGAACGGCGCGGUGUCCCAGGGCGCUCCCCACCACCCCCUGGCGCUGCAGCUGCGUCUGCUCGUACAUGUGCUGCGCAGUAACCCCCCGCUCCUGCUGGACCUGGUGAAGAACGCCUGCGACCUCUUCAUCCCUCUGGACAAGCUGGGACUAUACAAGACCAACCCCGGGGUGGUGGGACUGUGCGGCCUGACCUCCUCCAUACUGUCCAUCCUCACCAUCCUCCACCCCUGGCUCAAGCUGAAGCCCUGAGUGGGCAAGGCCUCUCCAUUCAGGGGCGUGGGAAAGCUGGGUGACCUUUUCCGGACCUCGAUUUACAGGAGUCGUCUGUGAUCAGACAUCCCUAAUGCACCCUGGUUGGGGAACACUCCCCUAAUAUGACACAAUCCCCCUCAGCUCAUUACUUCCUUCUCUCCUGCUCGCCCCCUUGUCUCUGGUUGCUGUGGGUUCCAGAGGCUCCGCCCAGGAGGAGCCAUGUCCAGACACUGCCUGUGUUAACCCUAUAAUGGCUGUAUGCCUCCUGACACCCGAUUUCCCCCCCCCCC
This is an RNA transcript of Hyla sarda, 1156 nucleotides long. It is a transcript of the gene named peroxisomal biogenesis factor 11 beta, with no coding region annotated. NCBI's taxonomy places the organism in Eukaryota, Metazoa, Chordata, Amphibia, Anura, Hylidae. The transcript has 5 exons. The record is from RefSeq and is a predicted model, not a curated record.